This is a long non-coding RNA of Ictalurus furcatus (blue catfish), 6072 nucleotides long. RefSeq lists it as uncharacterized. The record is from RefSeq and is a predicted model, not a curated record. The transcript has 2 exons. Lineage: Eukaryota; Metazoa; Chordata; Actinopteri; Siluriformes; Ictaluridae.
GACACACGAAAGACCGAUGCAGGUGGUUUUUCCUUUGUCGUGCAGACACACGAAAGACCGAUGCAGCCUUACCACUGACUGUUCCAGGAACUUCGCCUCUGCGACAGCAGAGAUAUUGGUGUUUCUUAGAUCACAGCUUCAAAACUAAGAUAUAUACCAACAGGUAUAUAUAGAGAGAGCGAUCCAUCCAUCCAUCUUCAACCACUUACUCCUUUUCAGGGUCACGGGGAACCUGGAGCCUAUCCCAGGGAGCAUCAGGCACAAGGCGGGGUACACCCUGGGCAGGGUGCUAGUCCAUCGCAGGGUACAAUCAUAUAAACACUCACACACCCAUUCAUACACUACGGACACUUUAGACACACCAAUCAGCCUACCAUGCAUGUCUUUGGACUGGAGGAAGAAACUGGAGUACCCGGAGGAAACCAUGCAAACAUGCAAACUCCACACACACAGGGCCCCAGCAGGACUUGAACCCCAGACCCUGGAGGUGUGAGGCAAACGUGCUAACCACUAAGCCACUGUGCGCCCCAGAGAGAGAUAAUAACGGUAAAACUAUUUGCUAACGGAAAGAGUCCGUUUCGAGGAAUAAACAAGUAAAGAGAGUACUUAUUAAGAAGCGCAAGAGGCGCAGUAUUUUUAUGGCAGAUUAUUAUCAAGUAGCAUGCCCCAUUGAGGAAUUCCAUCAUAUCAGCAGUACAUGAUAUAUUUGGCAAAUUUAACGCACAAGUAAAUUUUACUUAGAUAAAAAAUAAUAAUAAUAAUAAUAAUAAUUUUUAAAAAAAAAAAGAAGAAGGGAAGAGAAAACUGUAAGUCCUACCAAAUUACUGUAUGUGGACUCGCCCUCACAGGUAAACUCUUUCACAUUCUUAAGGUUUGCUCUAUUGAACCUAUAGGUUAUAUGAUAAAUUAAAUGUCUAGAGACUUGGCACACAUUUUGAACCUUUUCUGUCUGUGCACGAGAAUGCAUAUUCACUUGAUUUUCAUAGCAGGUUAAAUUGAUUAAAACUUUGAAAGUUAUAAAAUAAAAUAAGUAAAAAUAAAAAUAAAAUAAAAUAAAAUAAAAUAUGGGAAAAACAUAUAGCAAAGCACAUCCUGUGACAGGGUGCUCAUAUGUUGAUCCUAAUAUCAUGUUUAGCCUCAGACAGUUAGAACAACUGAAACUUAAUUUGGAGACAAAGGAGAGAGAGAGAGACCCCUAAAACAAAGAGCGAAGUGGAAACUGGAAGACAUUUGUGGAAUGGCAGAGUGAGGCACAUAAAAGAGAGAAAAAAUGUCAGGUAGGUCCCUCAUCUGUUUCUCAGUGUGCUAAAUUGAAGAAAGCCGAUCCCGACCUGGACACUGCCCCACUGCGACACCCACAGCCAGUAAGGAGGGAGGGAACUGCAGUUUCAGAGGCACCUCCUCACGAUGAAGCAGCCCAGCCUACGCCACUCUAUCAGAACCUGUUAGAACUGAGCCACCAACCCCCAUGGAACUAUGCGCCAGCCAUCCUAGCUUCACCGGUGGCGUUACACACGAGAUCCCAAGUGAAGGGACCAACAACAUUGCUGCCUGAGGGCUUCAGACCAACAAAAUCGGACAGAGAAGGGACACUGCACACCAUGGUGAAUGCCCCAAUGCUAGAAGUGGCCAGAGAAGGAGGCCCUACACUAGUUCACAGACCAUGGACAUUGGAAGACAUCAGGAGCAGCAUGACGCAUUUGCCGGCUCUCCGUAAAGUAGGAGGAUGAAAGUUUGGGGAUGAACUUCAGAUAUUCUGCAGAGAAUUCAGACCCACCACGCAUGAACUACGAUGACUGCUCAUGGCGAAACUUGGCACGGACUGGGUCAAGGUUUCAUGUGAAUUCCCAGAGAACGAUGUCCGCCUGAUCAACCUACAGUGGGGUGAUGGAGUCAACGCAAGGUACAGAGCACAAAUCACAGUGUUCCAGCAGAAGCUGGCGAACAACUUUCCUGUGCGAAUGGACAUGACAGAAAUAGCGAUGUGUAAACAACAAGACUCAGAGACUGUAUCACAGUACCUGUCCAGACUCACUGAGAUCCAUGACGCAAACUCAGGCUUGGAGAAACCCGACGCUCUGGCAGAUGGGCAGGCGGCCGUCACAGCAUGGGAGGCACAUCUCAGAAACAGCUUUAUGAACGGCAUGAAACCAGAAAUUGCCGCUAUAAUCAAACAACAAUGUAUCCCCUGGGAGACCAGAAACCUCACACAAGUGGAAAGGUAUGCAAUCCACACGGAGAAGUUCCUACGAGAGGCAAAGGAAAGAAAGAUGGAGAGGAGAGGAGAGGAAGACCAAAAGACCAAAAAAAUUCUUUCUGGAAAUGUGCAAGGUUAACCUGGAUGUAAUAUGUCAUGACAAGGGAAUGUUCCUGAACCUUGGGACAAGCCCCACACCCCUAGAGAUACACCUACAAUUGAAGAAGGUGCCUCUCAGGCUGUGGGCCCAAGGGAAACAUGACGUAGGCCUGAUUAAACCACGACCACCAGUCGUGAUCACACCCAAAUCUGACUUUAGGCCCAGACAAUCUCAAUACCCUCUUAAAUCAGAAGCUAUUGAGGGCAUUGGACCAGAUUUCAAUUCAUUAUUGAAGGCAGGGGUCAUUGUUCCCUGCCCUGAUUCGUCAGUGUGCACUCCAAUAUUUCCGGUAAAGAAAGCAAGAAAACCCCCACAACCUGAUGAAUGGAGAUUUGUACAAGAUUUGCAAGCGGUUAAUGCAGCAGUCAAACAGAGACCUCCAGACAUGCGAAAUUCUUACACUAUAUUAAGCCAGGUUCCAGCAAAUAGCGAAUGGUUUUCAGUCGUAGAUUUAGCUAAUGCGUUUUCUCAGUAUAUCUCUUGAUAAAGACAGUUUCGGUUUGCAUUCAUAUUUGACGGACAUCGUUACACUUUCACUCGCUUGUGAUAAGGGUAUUGUGAGUCACUAACGAUAUACAACCAAAUGCUAAAGGACAGCUUAGCACCUCUACCACUUUCUCCAGGGCACAGUGUGAAACUGACACCAUUAAAUUGUUGCAGCAUCUUGCCAAAGAGGGACACAAAGCCAGUCUCUCCAAACUACAGUAUGUACAACAAGAAGUGAGAUUUCUUGGGUCAUGACAUUUCUGCAAAGGGAAAGAAACUCUCUGCUGAAAGAGUAACUGCAAUCCAGAAGAUUCCCAAGCCUCUGACGAAGAAACAAGUUCUUUCUACCCUAGGUAUGUGUUCGUAUCAGAGAUCUUUCAUUCUAAACUAUUCCAGUCUAGAAGCACCGCUCAGAGAGAUGGCAUAUGCACCAGGGUGGACAGCUCAUUCUCAGGUAAGUUGGAUCCAGUCGCUAGAGAGUUUCCCGUGUGUACGUGUAGUAGCAGCAGCUGAGAAAGCUGUGGUGGCAUCCAGAGACCUGGUAGGUUACUCAGAAUUGAUCCUCUUGGUUCCACAUGAGGUGUUGUUAUUCCAACUUGAACAGACAACCUUACACCUGUCCACCCAAUGGUGGCUGCACCAUAACACUAUACUACUAGACAUGCCGAAUGUCACUAUAAAACGAUGUACUGUCCUUAACCCUGCUACUCUUCUUCCAACAGAGGGAGACGGGGAACCACAUGAUUGUGUCGUACUGACUAACGAACUCUGCUCCCCUAGAGUCGACCUGAAGGAUGUUCCAUUGGAAAACCCAGAUUUGAUCCUUUUUGUGGAUGGGUCAGUGUCAUGUGACCCAGAGACAGGUAAAAAUCGAGUGGGCUAUGCAGUAGUGACCGCACACGAGACGGGUCUGUCAGGAAGUCUCCCCUCAAACCUUUCAGCACAAGCAGCUGAACUGUACACCCUCAUAGAGGCAUGAAGACAUGCUGAGGGACAGUCAGUAAAUAUCUACACAGACAGUAGAUAUGCCUUUGAGGUAGUACAUGAUUUGGGGACAAUUUGGAAACACAGGAACUUCCUGACGAGUUCAGGAACACACACAGCCCACCACAAACUAGUCUCUGAGCUGCUGGACGCAGUCCUACUCCCCAAAACUAUUGCAGUAUGCAAAUGUGAUGCACACACUAACAAAUUAGACCAUGUUUUCCUAGGAAACGCUCGAGCAGACAGUGCAGCAAAGCAAGCAGCUGCAGCUAUGGUCCCAAAACUCAAAAGAAAAUAACCACUCCUUCUUUACAGCUUUCAGACCUCCAAGCACGAGCUACGGACGAGGAAAAGGCUGUGUGGCACAAAGUAGGCUGCACGGUUGUUGACGGAGUUUGGCGAUGCCCCCCAGGGCUGUCCUUGUCUUCAAAGUUGACGCAUGGCAGGGACCAUGCGUCAAAAGUGGGAAUGAUAGCUGCGUUAAAGCAUUGGUUUCUCUAAUUACUCUAAAAAAAUAAAUAAUUUUUUUGUUUACACUGUUUAUGCAACUCAUAACAUGGGUUGAGGUUUGAAGGUAGAGAAGGCCACGUCCCUACGUCCAAAGAGGACUCAGACGCGGUAGUGAUAAUGAUAAUCUCCAGUGAUAAUGGCACACCUUUUGUGAGCCAUGCCCUUAAGUAGGUGGGUGAAUAUUUGGGUAUUGAAUUAAAGCAGCACUGUGCAUAUCAUCCAGCUAGUGGUGGGGUGGUAGAGAGAGAAACUGGGACACUGAAAAACAGAUUUAGGAAAUACUGUUCUGAAACAGGCUUGGGAUGGGCUUAGCCCCUUUGGGAUACUGUUUGGGAGACCUCCACACACAGGAAUUGGACCUGUGACAGCUCCUCUUCCCGACGCUGCAGCAUGUGAUGAUGCGUUGUUAAAUUACUGUGCAACCCUGUCCUCUGCUCUGCACUCUAUCCACAAGCAGGUAAAGGCAGCACUUCUAGCUCCAAACACUGGUCCGUUGCAUGAUCUGAAGCCCGGAGAGUGGAUCGUGAUCAAGGACUUCCGCAGGACCAGGUGGAACAAGCCAUGUUGGUCGGGGCCAUUCUAGAUCCUUUUUGUCACUCGCUCUGUGGUAAAGGUUAACCAGAGAGCCACAUGGAUGCGUGCCAGCCACUGUAGGAGGGUGCCAGAGCCAAGCAUUGAGCUGGAGAAGACGAGACUUCGACAGGAGGACUAGAAAGUGAUUCUCUAUCAAGAGGCCUCUAGGAGGACCUACGCUCACGAGCAACGAUCUGCAUAUACACACCCACACAACGUCACACGUCCCCUCGUCACACAGACACAUAAUGAUUAUUCUAUCAUUGAACACAUGCGGUCUGCGAUACGCAACUAGCGAGAUGGGGCUUGAUUGGCUGAACUCAGUACUCGGGGGAUGGGGCUCAUGGAUAUUAACCGUCUGUCUAUCAAUAGGUGCAAUAAUUCUUCAUCUUGCUCAUUUUGCCUUGUAUUGUCUCUCACGCUCGUUGGAAUCACUAAUGAUCAAACGCUGAUGUUGACAAAGACUGAUUACGAUCCCUAUGAUGACCAACCUGACUUGUAUCCUAAACCUGACUGGGUAUCAGGUCCUCCCAGUGACACUGACGAUGACGACCCAUUGACAUCCAUUUCACACCUAUUGUAAAUAUUCCUUUGACCAUGACGACUCUCAUUUCACCCUAAAUGAGCUUGCUUGACUACAGGAUACUUUAUAUCCACAAAAACAGCCUUAGUACCUCCAUUAUGUCUGUAUCAUGUUGAAUUCAGUUGAACCGUGAAAAGAUUCUGAAGUUCUGAUGUACUCAGCAUUGUAAUUUCUCUGUUAAUUUUAGUUAUCAUAUUUUGUAAUGAUGAAAUGGGGGAAAUGUGAGGGAAAUGACUCAUUUUUACUUUGUAAUAAGUUUGUUCUUGUUCUGUUUCAUUCUCAUGUGAGGAUAACGCCUAAGAAGGCCAUGUUAUGUCACUGAGAGCAGUACAAAAUGUUUAUCUGCUUACAGAGACACAAACAUGUUCUUCCUUUCAAGGUUCAUCUAAACAUCUUCGAAUAUUCUAAAAAAAAAGCCUGUUUGAACUGCCUCAAACUGCUUCUUAUGGGUACACAGAAUUAUGUCAUGCUCUGAGUUUCAUAUAUAUAGUAGUGGUUUAUUACAAGGGCGUCAGAGCGCUCUCGUUAUCCUAUCCUGCAUUAACCAUCUUUCUGUAAUAAACCUUUUUACACCUUUUA